UGGGGAAUAUUGCACAAUGGGCGCAAGCCUGAUGCAGCCAUGCCGCGUGUAUGAAGAAGGCCUUCGGGUUGUAAAGUACUUUCAGCGAGGAGGAAGGCACUAAGGUUAAUAACCUUAGUGAUUGACGUUACUCGCAGAAGAAGCACCGGCUAACUCCGUGCCAGCAGCCGCGUAUACGAGGGUGCGAAGCAGUUAAUCGGAAUUACUGGGCGUAAAGCGCACGCAGGCGGUCUGUCAAGUCGGAUGUGAAAUCCCCGGGCUCAACCUGGGAACUGCAUUCGAAACUGGCAGGCUAGAGUCUUGUAGAGGGGGUAGAAUUCCAGGUGUAGCGGUGAAUUGCGUAGAGAUCUGGAGGAAUACCGGUGGCGAAGGCGGCCCCCUGACAGAGACUGACGCUCAGGUGCGAAAGCGUGGGAGCAAACA
RNAcentral lists this ribosomal RNA (423 nucleotides) under uncultured Enterobacteriaceae bacterium. Its description in RNAcentral is "bacterial SSU rRNA". It matches the Rfam family "Bacterial small subunit ribosomal RNA", at positions 355 to 774 of the family's 1533-position model. Lineage: Bacteria; Pseudomonadati; Pseudomonadota; Gammaproteobacteria; Enterobacterales; Enterobacteriaceae. The record is from RNAcentral.